AGAACCUUACCAAGGCUUGACAUAUAGGGAAAAGUGGCAGAGAUGUCAUGUCCGCAAGGGCCCUAUACAGGUGGUGCAUGGUUGUCGUCAGCUCGUGUCGUGAGAUGUUGGGUUAAGUCCCCGCAACGAGCGCAACCCUCGUUCUGUGUUGCCAGCAUUUAGUUGGGGACUCACAGGAGACUGCCGGGGUUAACUCGGAGGAAGGUGGGGAUGACGUCAAAUCAUCAUGCCCCUUAUGUCUUGGGCUGCACGCAUGCUACAAUGGCCGGUACAGAGGGCUGCAAUACCGUAAGGUGGAGCGAAUCCCAAAAAGCCGGUCUCAGUUCGGAUUGAGGUCUGCAACUCGACCUCAUGAAGUUGGAGUUGCUAGUAAUCGUAGAUCAGCAACGCUACGGUGAAUACGUUCCCGGGGCUUGUACACACCGCCCGUCACGUCACGAAAGUCGGUAACACCCAAAGUCAGUG
Molecule: ribosomal RNA, 465 nt
Filed under: uncultured Actinomycetes bacterium
Lineage: Bacteria; Bacillati; Actinomycetota; Actinomycetes
Description: bacterial SSU rRNA
Rfam family: Bacterial small subunit ribosomal RNA
Source: RNAcentral